This 758-nucleotide small RNA is filed under the name Pan troglodytes (chimpanzee). Its description in RNAcentral is "retained intron". Lineage: Eukaryota; Metazoa; Chordata; Mammalia; Primates; Hominidae. The record is from RNAcentral.
GGCGCCGGGCGGAGGGGGAGAGCGCGGGCCGCGCGGGCGGGAAGCGAAGAGGCGGGCGGGCCAGCGAGGAGCGCGGAGAGAAAAGGCGCGAGCGGCCAGGAGGGCUCAGGCCGAGACACCUUGCAGCUGCCGCCGCCGCCACCGAGCCGCCGCGGAUCAAACUGCUCCAGCAGAGUGCAUCACCCGGACCCGGAGGGCCCCACAGCUACAGACAGUGGCAUCUGCAGGCAGGCCUGGGGCCUUCCAGGGGACUAGAGUGUACCUGGAAAGGGGACAUGUGCUGUCCCCAGCCACCCUGACCGGUGUGCCUCUCGCCUUCACAGUGUGCUCACUGAUCCGCCUCCAGGGCCACCGCCAUGUCGAGCCGCGGUGGGAAGAAGAAGUCCACCAAGACGUCCAGGUCUGCCAAAGCAGGAGUCAUCUUUCCCGUGGGGCGGAUGCUGCGGUACAUCAAGAAAGGCCACCCCAAGUACAGGAUUGGAGUGGGGGCACCCGUGUACAUGGCCGCCGUCCUGGAAUACCUGACAGCGGAGAUUCUGGAGCUGGCUGGCAAUGCAGCGAGAGACAACAAGAAGGGACGGGUCACACCCCGGCACAUCCUGCUGGCUGUGGCCAAUGAUGAAGAGCUGAAUCAGCUGCUAAAAGGAGUCACCAUAGCCAGUGGGGGUGUGUUACCCAACAUCCACCCCGAGUUGCUAGCGAAGAAGCGGGGAUCCAAAGGAAAGUUGGAAGCCAUCAUCACACCACCCCCAGCCAAA